UUCGGGAAGGUAACAUCGCUGAGUCCAAAUUUAGUUUCGUUAUGUUGAAUUGAUUUUGUGAAAUUCGGUUUCGGCCAGUAGCAGUGUCUGAAGGGGGAAGAGUGCCCUCACGACGUGGUCAAGGCUGGAUCAAGUCGUGAGGUAAAACUUUGUGCUGUAAUUCAGGAAACGCAAAUGGCGUUUACGUGAUUUUGAGCGUGUGCUUCGCCUCACGGAAUCCUUCACAUGGGAGGACCAGCCGACCAGAGAUCCUCACACCGGACACCGUACACUAGCGGGGUGGAUACCGCACCUUCAGAAAGUUACGAAAUAUGUCUACGCAUUCACAGUUCUGCAUAAUCUAGUUCAAUCAGGAGUACGGAUAUAUACAUCCCAUGAAUUGGUGUUCAGAGCCUGGUACCCUUUUGACACCCUCAGCAGUCCGGGAUACGAGCUCACAAUUCUUAUGCAGAUAUUUGCAACAAAUUUCUACUUGACCAUUUUCUGUGGGUUCCAACUCUUAUAUGCUACGCUGAUUAUGGUCGCGUGCAGUCAGCUGCAGAAGCUCAGAACGAACCUCUUGGACAUAAAACAAAAACUGGUUCCAUCAGGAGCUGAUUCUGGCAGUGACGGGGAAGAAGAGCCAGUUUCCCGCUCCGAGGACCGGUUCUGCCGCAUGCAGACACAACUGAACGAGUGUGUUCGGCACCAUCAAGCCAUACUGCAAGCUGGGGAGACAUAACCGAUUUAACGGAAAUUCUCAUCAUAUAUGUAAUGGCGAUAUUUUACGUCUGUCUGUUAUGCAGACUUGGGACGGAACUCACGCUACAGGCUGAAAGGGUGAGAGACGCUGCCUGGGGGUGCGACUGGGUGGGAACCCCUGUCUCAUUUCAGCGCUGUCUGGCCUUCAUCAUCGCCACAGCCAACAAGGAGUUCACACUCACAGCCGGGAAAUUUGUGCCUGUGUCCAACUCCACCAUGAUGAGUGUAAUGAACGAGUCCAUCUCCCUAUUCAUGUUUCUACUCACCAUGAAGGACAAGCGUGAAGAAACUGUCACGGAGUAGUCUACUCAGCAUGAAGGACAAGCGUGAAGAGACUGUCACGGAGUAUCCUACUCAGCAUGAAGACCAAGAAUGAAGAAACUGUCACGGAGUAGCCUACUCAGCAACAGAAACUGGAAAAUGUGUCUGCUCCACACUGCAAUAUUUAUUGUGUUUUGUCCCCUCAUACUGAUUUACAAAUCCCACUGUGGCACAACCAUUUGCACAAUUCUUCAAGAAAAGUAUUAUUUUUGACGUAGUAUAAAAUGGGUAACUAACUGUAACUACUAGGAUCCGAGGUAAAAUUAAAAAAAAAAAAUUUUAACUAGAAUCUAAUUGCUGUGUUAUGUCAAACUUCACUUAAUGGAAAGAGAAAAAACAUGCAAGAAAUCUGUUCCUCAACUUAAACUCUCAGCAAGCAGGAAACUACAUUAUUAAAUGAUAUACAGUGAAAACAAAAUAAUGGCACCUUCUUCUCAUAAUAUAGGAAACACAGGACAACUUUAUUCUUUCCGCUAUAGAGAAGGAUAUUUACUGCAAUACAAGUAUAAUACAGCUGUAUUAACUUUCUAACAACACAGCACAAAGUAUAUGUACUGACAUAGCCAUUCUCUUCCUUAUUCUGUUAUACAUAUUUUUGUUAAAUUAACAAACACUUACGUAAACUUGAAACUCAUGAAUUUCCACGU
RNA transcript from Cryptotermes secundus, 1709 nucleotides. It is a transcript of the gene named odorant receptor 7a-like, with no coding region annotated. The transcript has 6 exons. The record is from RefSeq and is a predicted model, not a curated record. Lineage: Eukaryota; Metazoa; Arthropoda; Insecta; Blattodea; Kalotermitidae.